Lupinus albus (white lupine) is the source of this 1104-nucleotide non-coding RNA. The record is from the annotation of a GenBank genome assembly. NCBI's taxonomy places the organism in Eukaryota, Viridiplantae, Streptophyta, Magnoliopsida, Fabales, Fabaceae.
AUGUUAUUUACUUUCCUUGAAGAAAAAGGUUUACAUGAUGUAUCAUGUGUCUAAAGUGAAAAGAUUUAUGACAAGAUUCAAUUCAAGUUGUCAUUCAACACAAUCACGUAUAAGUUGAUCGGUAACGGUAAUUUAUAAUUUAAGUCACUUAUAAUUUGAGACUUUUUGAGAAUGGUGAAAAGUAUAAAAAAAAACAAUCUUUAUUUUCGUUUUUAUUAUUCAAGAAAAAUACUUGAUGAAAGAAUUAACAUUUUUCCAACCCAAUGCUGGUGUUUACUUGUCAUAAUACUCUAAUCAUGUCAUAACCUGAUAAAAACAAAAUUUAUGUACAAAAUUGAAUGUUGGCAAAAAAUUUCUCAAUUUCAAAAUAGGUUGACUUACUCACAAAUUUUAUUAAUAAAUGAAUCGCUAAGUUGGUACCUUUGAGAGCUCAAUAAGAGCAUUAUUAUGGAGAUAAAGAUUUUAUUUUACUAUUUAUUUUUCGGUCCACAUUACAUAUUUUGUUGAUGUUCUUAAAUUUUCCUUUUCUUAAAUUGUGCUACCUCGAUUUUUUUGAAAAUUCUUUUAUUGGGUUCUCAAAGGUACCGGCCUACCAUUCAUAUAGAAAUUUUGUGAUCAAAUGUCAAUGUUUUGAAAUUUGGGGGAAAUAAUUACACUUUCCAUUUUGUAUUUUAAUUUAUCAAACUUUGGUGAAUUAGAGUAAUAAUGAGUGAAAAAGCUACACUGGGUUGGGUCUUAUUGAGAAAAAAUGUAAAUUUCCAUCAAAGUAGUUAUGUAGUUAUUCUAUAUAUCGCUCUAUUUUCUCUCUGUAUGUAAUGCAAGCUUGUCUAAUUUGGAGUUUUUUGUUAUAAUUAUGUCAUUUUCACCCAUUUAUCUAUUAAUUAUUUAAUAUUACUACUGCUUUGUACAAUUAUUUCAUCAACAUAUGUUUUGUUGGUUUUAAAUUUUGGAAGAGGCAGUGAUUUGAAGAUCUUGAUAAUUUAUUGUAGAAUUCUUUUAGCAUUAUUGUAACAACACUUUUAUUAGUAUUUGAUAUGACUUGCAUUACAUAUUACUUGUCACUUUACAUAAUUUGGGUAUGUUUUUCAUCAUAGAAAUCUUUUC